GGCCAGGUAGCUCAGUCGGUAGAGCAGUGGACUGAAAAUCCUCGUGUCGGCAGUUCGAUUCUGUCCCUGGCCA
Molecule: transfer RNA, 73 nt
Filed under: Gammaproteobacteria bacterium
Lineage: Bacteria; Pseudomonadati; Pseudomonadota; Gammaproteobacteria
Also listed under: 1 other name
Description: tRNA-Phe
Rfam family: tRNA
About the family: Transfer RNA (tRNA) molecules are approximately 80 nucleotides in length.
Source: RNAcentral